GCAAACUUGGUCAUUUAGAGGAAGUAAAAGUCGUAACAAGGUUUCCGUAGGUGAACCUGCGGAAGGAUCAUUAGAAAAAAAAAGGAGAUCGACCUCGAAACUGUGGACGAUCAAAUCCAUACCCACCUUGUGUGCACUCAUUGACCGUUCGCUUUGGCAGGAGGUAAGUCUUCGAUCUGCGAUCGAAGCUGCGAGGAGGCCCUCUGCUCUCCCGUUCCCGGGAGAGAUCGGUGCCUCGGCCUGCCAGAGUUUUUCUUUCUUGAAUUCACGCUUCUCUUGAACCUUUUUGGACUGAACCCUCGUCUCGAUUCUUUUUUUGUAAUCGGUCGAACCAAAAUACAACUUUCAACAACGGAUCUCUUGGCUCUCGCAUCGAUGAAGAACGCAGC
RNAcentral lists this unclassified non-coding RNA (389 nucleotides) under uncultured fungus. RNAcentral describes it as "partial contains small subunit ribosomal RNA, internal transcribed spacer 1, and 5.8S ribosomal RNA". The stretch from base 1 to 73 matches the Rfam family "Eukaryotic small subunit ribosomal RNA", at positions 1759 to 1831 of the family's 1831-position model. The record is from RNAcentral. Lineage: Eukaryota; Fungi.